UAAUGUGUAUGAGGUGCCAUCUCGUG
This 26-nucleotide non-coding RNA is filed under the name Homo sapiens (human). The record is from RNAcentral. Lineage: Eukaryota; Metazoa; Chordata; Mammalia; Primates; Hominidae.